RNAcentral lists this ribosomal RNA (459 nucleotides) under uncultured bacterium. RNAcentral describes it as "partial 16S ribosomal RNA". It matches the Rfam family "Bacterial small subunit ribosomal RNA", at positions 338 to 795 of the family's 1533-position model. The record is from RNAcentral.
CCUACGGGUGGCAGCAGUGAGGAAUAUUGGUCAAUGGCCGCAGGUCUGAACCAGCCAAGUCGCGUGAGGGAUGACGGUCCUAUGGGUUGUAAACCUCUUUUGUCUGGGAAUAAAGUGCGCCACGUGUGGCGCUUUGCGAGUACCUUAAGAAAAAGCAUCGGCUAACUCCGUGCCAGCAGCCGCGGUAAUACGGAGGAUCCGAGCGUUAUCCGGAUUUAUUGGGUUUAAAGGGGGCGAGGGGGGAAUGUAAAGUCAGCGGUAAAAUUUCGGGGGGAAACCCCGUCGUGCCGUUGAAACUGGCGGUCUUGAGUGAGCGAGAGGUAGGCGGAAUGCGUGGUGUAGCGGUGAAAUGCAUAGAUAUCACGAAGAACUCCGAUUGCGAAGGCAGCAUACUGGCGCGCAACUGACGCUCAUGCACGAAAGCGUGGGUAUCGAACAGGAUUAGAUACCCGAGUAGUC